GGCAAUCGCUCAUCCACCAAUACAGUGCAGCACCAAAUUUGCGCAUAAUCGUGUCCCGACUCACACACCAACCAAAGAAGAACCGGUGAAAAAAGGCACCAGCAGAAGCAUAAAAAGCUGCUCAGGGACCUUUUGCGUCAAUCCUUCGCCGAGCCAUUCAUCCUGCCAACCGACAAUGAGCAACGAUCCGGAAAAAGGGCACACCGAAGAUUCAUACACAUAGCGUUAAUGCUAUGUACAAACAGUAGUCGUCGGUCUUCCACUCCUGCUCCCAUUCCCAGCAAACCCAGGCGUUUGUUGCCUUUCACAGUCGUUCUUCAGCGACGGCAGAUGAUGAUGAUGGCAUAUUAUGGCACCCAAGCAGGCCAUGUGCCCUGGGUGUGUCUGGGUAUUGGUGCUCAUUUCGCCUACUACGAGCGAGCGAGCGCUGGGUGACGCCCCCUUGCUCGACAGCUCUCUUUCUCACUCGUGCGCUCAUCACCGCGAGACUCUGCCACUUUGGCUCCCAGAGAUCGCGCUGGGACUCUCAUGGGGACGGGUGAUGAGAUGUGGGGGUGCGCUGGAGGAAAGGAGAGACCCCAACAAAGUGGUAGUUGCUGCUUGUUAGCUCAUUAUGAAGCGGGCGGAAAACUAACAGUAACGAAAUGUUUGAGCAAACAGAACGAACCGAGAGAGAGAGGGAGUCCGCGGGAGUGGUUUGGGCGGUAGUUGCGCUUGUUGUGGAGAAGUGAUGCGAAGAAAAGUGCAGCGUUGUGGAAAAUGUACAACAUCGAGAGAAACCUGCUGCUGCUGCUGGCACUUGGACACGCCAAGGAGUGGGAUCAUCCUGCGGCUGUUCGGAUCUUCUUUUUUUUUGAUCCAGAAGGAUCUCAUCUCAUCCUCCGACCCAAGAGGAUCCCGCAAAACAUAAGAUGAGAUGCAUCCCAAUUUGGCGAUUGUCGGUCAGCGUGCAAAAUUUAGCAUAUCCCACGACCGCAUUUUGGGCGAUGCUGCAGCUGACGGAAUCCACUCUGGGCUCCGAUUCCACGGUGGGUUGGUAAUCCGGUUAGAGGGUCCGAACACUAUGGGUGAGAAGAAAUAACAAAAACCUAAUGAGGCCGGCCGGCCGGUUCUCUUUGGAACGUUUCCCGGGUGUUUUGAGGAUGCCGCCACCAACGGGCCCGAGUUUGCAAGAUCAAGGCGGAACCUCGUUAAUCCGACUAAAACAUCCGUAAUCCGGAACCGGAGAGCCGUGGGCGGCAUGCCAGUGAUGAGCGGUAUUCUUGACGGGAUCAAUGGGAGAGGUGUUCUACGUGGAAUUGGUUUGUUCAAAGUAGUUUGAAUGAUUUUUUUUUCAGGGAGUCUGUGUUGGGGUUGGAGUCGGAAUCGAAGUUGUUGUAGGACUAAAAGUUGGAGUCGCUCAAGUAGGCCAUUUGGAAGAGCAUUAGUCGAGGUAGUCCUCAAAAAGAGUCGUCUCCGGCUUCGAUUCCAAUGAACAAAAAAAACUAAACAAAACUCAAAAAACCGUUGUUCCUCGAACAAAGACCGACUCCUACCGCGGUCGACACGUAUCCUCAAUUCAAGAAUUUCCAUAAAUGCACAACUUUCGCUGAAAAGCGACAUAUCAGCGUGAGCUCAUCGUGAACAUUUCCCAAUCACAUUCGUCCCCGGUCCUCGGAUACUCUUUGACCCAAUUCCCGUCGCGAUCUGAACAAGAACAACCUCCAGCAGGGCACCAACUGAACAAAACUCCGACGGAGAACACUGUUUUCGAUGUUCAUUCCACUCUCACUCGAGUCGCGAAUGUCGGCAAUUCCGAUCAGCCGGAGGAUUGCCGACGGCUAGCGGUCUCCCGUCGGUAGGCAGCUCUCCGGAGGGGACCCGUUUAAAUGGCCGUUGAGGGGCAAGAUGUUGUAAACUAUCGCCACAUAUGGUGCCUGUUCGUUGUGGUGAAAGGACAGCUGCUCCAGGGCUGCCGGGAUUUUUUUUUCCGCCAUCGAUUUAGGUACUCUACAAAUUUUAGAGCUUGUUCUUCCAUGUCAUCUGUUGCAGUAUUUGAAUGCUCCCAUGACCAACAACGGCGCCCACCAUGUCAAAUUGUAGAUCUCUAGAAGAAUAGCAUGGGACAUUGUGAUAAUUCCAAUACCAAGACUAAAUCAGAUCAAUCAAUGAUCUCAAGAACCAACCCAGGACAACUUACCCUAACCUCAACGAAAGCAAACAGCCGGAAAAAGCGCACAAUUCGAACACUUCCGCUCAGCAGCAGCGUAUACGUAAUCGUUAGGAGGUUAGAAUCGGCAGGCAAUUGCAUCAUAAAACACUGUGCUGUUGAAAAAGUUCGCCUUUUUUCCGUUCCGGCCGGCAAAUCCCACCCCUCAAAAACUCAACAGAGUCGUCGUCGUCGCCCAAAACAACCUCUCUAAUUGCCGAUAAAAUAAUUAUAAUGUGUACAUUUAAUAGCGCCAACAAUCGACACAUGCUCGUGGUGGAAGAGGGAUCGAGAGGACUAAAAAAGGACUGGGAUGGAGGGAAACGUUACCUAAACUUGUUUUUAGGAUGUUUUUUUAUUCAUGUACUGUGGGAUUGAGUACAUAAACAUCAAUAUGGUACAGAUUGAGAUGGCUAAAAGAGCUAUUUGCAUUUUGUGUAUUUUUCCACUUGGACUGGCGGGACUGCGAUGAUGAGCGGCUGGAUAAGUUAAAGAGUUAAUUAAGGACUUGCAGUAUAAGCUUAUGAAUCUUCAUAAAUAUCAAUAAUCAAUUCUGUCUUAAUCAAAUUUUAAAUAAUAUUUGAACAGCAAUUUUAAAAUUUACGUAAAAUGUGAUUAUUUAUCUGCAUUUCGUAUGAACUAUCCUAAUUUUUUAGGUUUGUGUAGUCAAAACCCCGGAAGGACAAGUCUGAUUUGGAGUAUGUGAAAACAUGUCUUUGAUAAAAAGACAUUUGUUAAACCUUAUUUUUGGAUAUGUUUAAGAUUAAAAAAAUGCCAUCCUUUGAGCUAUGGCACAAGUUUAAAAAAAUCAUUUGGCAAUGUUGCAAAUUGGGACCUAAAAUAUUAUUGUUCACAAUGAUAAAGCUUAUUUUUCUGAAUACAAUGACCCUUUGUAUGACCGCAACGGAUUUAAAAUGGAUUUUUAUAUCAAUUUUAAAAGAUUAACUUCGCGGGUCAUCUUGACAAAAAAGGUCCUAUAGGAAAUAGAGGAAAUAUACCCUUUCUAAUCAAACACCUAUCUUUCUCAUAUGGAGAGUUUGAUGCUCGAUUAAAGUUCCAAAAAUAUUAUUUAGUCUUUAAACUAACUAGCAACAGCACCACCUCGAGUAAGCACGCAAAUUGAUGCCACUUACUGGCCAAAAAAAUCAAAUUUAAUGCACUUUUGAUCAUAAUUUCUAUUUUUCGAGAUCAUUUCUCAUCAUUUUGUUGGCACACACAAUGACACACGCGAGAAACCCUCAAACGCCUAAUGAAUAUCGCCAAUAUCAACUUUUCACUUUCGCUGGCUUUUUCACGGCGCUUUCGAUACAAAACUGCUUUCGGCAAUAUGUUCUUUUGCACAUUAGUUAGUCACUCAUUUGGAAAAUAAUCCCGAAACAUGUAAAUAAUUAGCAAGCGCCAUCAAAAAAACAAACGCGUCAAGUCUUUUGACAUUUAACUUUUGACUACACAUUCCAAUCGAAGGCUGCAGAAAACCGAGCGAGAAGCGAAGGCAAAUAAAGAACAAAGGGUGGCCACCAACGCUACCAGCAGCGCAGCAGUGAUGCCAGGAAA
Molecule: long non-coding RNA, 3742 nt
Organism: Culex quinquefasciatus (southern house mosquito)
Lineage: Eukaryota; Metazoa; Arthropoda; Insecta; Diptera; Culicidae
Exons: 4
Source: RefSeq, a predicted model, not a curated record